RNAcentral lists this long non-coding RNA (297 nucleotides) under Marmota monax (woodchuck). Lineage: Eukaryota; Metazoa; Chordata; Mammalia; Rodentia; Sciuridae. The record is from RNAcentral.
CUAGACUUACUUUAAAAGCUUGAGAAAGGAAGAAAGAAGAAAAAGGUAUUUGUACAUGGCAGAUUGAGACAAAGCUUCUCAAUGGAGUUAAAAAAGCCUUUGGUUGAAGGGCAGCCAUGUAAACUAACAUUAAAGAGAUUUAAACAGAAUCUAAGACUCGUUUAAAAGAGUGAAGCUGUAGGUGGUGAAAAAGUACAUUUAAAAGUACAGUAUAGAUGAUAAUUGGAAGGCUUUAAAAGGUUAAAUUGAAGGUGGUUAAAAUGCCUUCAUGACGAGGAAAGAUUGCAUCAUUCUGCU